This is a long non-coding RNA of Haliotis rufescens (red abalone), 4600 nucleotides long. RefSeq lists it as uncharacterized. Lineage: Eukaryota; Metazoa; Mollusca; Gastropoda; Lepetellida; Haliotidae. The transcript has 2 exons. The record is from RefSeq and is a predicted model, not a curated record.
GGAGAGCGGGUGGGAGGGAAGCGGGUGGGAAGAGAGCGGGGUGGGAGCAGAGCGGAUGGGAGAUGGGAGGCAGUGAGGAUGGCGGGCUCUUGUGGGUCGGGAGGGAGUGGGAGGUCUGAGGAUGGUGGCCAGUCUCGCUUACUUGGUUGAUGGGAGGAGAGCGGGUGGGAUAUGGUAGAUUUGGAGCGGGAGGGAGUGGGAGGUCUGAGGAUGGUGGGCUCUUGUUGGUCGGGAGGGAGAGGGAGGUCUGAGGAUGGUGGGCUCUUGUGGGUCGGGAGGGUAGGGUAGAACUAUUCCUGUAUGGAAUACAACUGUAAACCGUAUCGGUUAAACCAAUGCGUGUGCAUUACAUUGUGUUUCUCUUGCUAAGUAGAUGGUGAUUAUUCACAUAAUUUAUCAAUGGAAGUGUUUCAGUAUCCUCAAAGAGGAAUUUUGUAGAUGGCCUGCGUGUAUUGGUAUGAUUGUGCCCACAUGAUGGCAACUGAUGGUACAUUCACUUGUCACAAUAAAACAGCUUAAGAGAUGACGCUUUGUGUUUAUUGUGUCUCUUCUUGAGUUUCCUAUUCAUAAACACGUGGGAUAUUAUUUAGAAAUCACAUCAAAGUAUGACGGGAGUCAGGCGUAACGAAUUCUGUAUUAGUUAUCCAUUUCAAGGACCUGUCUGUGCAGCGAUUGCUGAGUUACAGAAGUUGUCAUGGAUAACACAUCACAGUGAAGGAGUCACUUAUGAUCUGAUGCCACCAACACUAUUUCAGACAUAUCCUGACAUGUCAGUCAAAUAGUCUUCCAUCCUAUUAUUAGGACCGUUGGUCAUUUUCGAGUGGUCAGCUUAUGUUGUGCAUUGUUGCAUCAGGAUCAGUGUCUCGUCACUAGCCUCGUGCAUCAUAUUUUAUCCAGAAUAUGAAUGUGUUUGCUCUCUAGCAUACGAAGUGAGUGCGUGAGUGAGUGAGUGAGUGAGUAUGGUUUUAUGCCGCUUUCAUCAACAUUCGAGCAAUAUGACGACGGGCGACACCAGAAAUGGGCUUCACACAUUGUAAACAUGUCGGGAAUCUUCGGUGUGACGAGUGAACGCUUUAACCACUAGGCAACCCGACCGCCCCUCUCUAACACAUAAACAGGACAAGACAGUUACACCUAUGCAGCCUGGCGUGACUGUGUUGUCAUUGUGCUGGUAAACCAGGACAUGGAUCCCUGUUCAGAUAUGCACACAGCUCAUUGGUCGACGAGCUUGUUGUUAUGGGUAACGGAGCAGUAUAAAAGAGCUGUGACAGGCUAUUGCGUUGUUUUCGCUAGUCUGCAGCUGAUGUUUCAACCUGCACUGGAGGCAGCCAGGACAGCUGCGGGCCGUCAUACAACAUUGACGCCAAGGGGUUGUGAUGUCCUGACCAUCCAGAAUGGUGCCACUCAACGGACACAUCCAAGGGGUUGCGAUGUCCUGACCAUCCAGAAUGGUGCCACUCAACGGACACAUCCAAGGGGUUGCGAUGUCCUGACCAUCCAGAAUGGUGCCACUCAACGGACACAUCCAAGGGGUUGCGAUGUCCAGAACGGCACCAGACAUUGGACACCUCCCAGAAGAGGGAGGUCCCAUCACAGGAAGUACAAGCUUCUUCAUCCCAUUGGCAUCAAGGCUGCUUUUGUCUGAGCUGUUCACCGGGGAUAGUAUGCGUAACAUUCUUCGAUGAAUUAAUUAGUUCGUAAUUAUUUUCUCAGGCAGUUUCGAACAGAUGCCUAUUCCAGUUAGGAAUAGAACGUAAGCCAUAUUGGCUUGUAUUAGCAACAAAGUGAAUAUUCAAUAUACAAGGUUUAGAUUUUUCGCCAAUCUAGACUGCUAUUGAUCGAUAUUCAUAAUAUACAUGUACCCUUGUGAGCCAUACUGGCAUCCAAAAAGCUAUGUUAUUAUGUAACAUAUAACUGUAAGCCGUAUCGGCUAACCUUCGCAUAUCAUGUUUACAAAAUAUACAGAUAUAUAUUGUUAGAAAUCUUGGUGAAUAUAUAUGUUGGCAAGCAUUGGAAAGCAUUAUUCAACUUACCAUUGUAAACAGUAUCGGGUAACAUUCUGAUACAACAUAUUACUGUGAGCCCUAUCGGCUACCCUAAAUCUGUAUGUAUGUUAUUAUACAACUCACUAUGCAGCUGGUAUCACACAUCCAAUAAUAAUUCUUAUUGUCCAACCUUCUAUUGUAGGCUUUAACUGAAUAUGGUAUUGUUAUUUACAUGUAUACCAACAACAUUAGCUAAAAUUGUACAUUCAUUAUCAUAUGCCUUAUUGUCAAAUAGUAGUUUAUAUUUAUCAUACUACUUGUCUUAUUCAUGAUAUAAUAGUUAGUUGCAAGCCUCAGUAAGCAGCAUUACGUUGAUAAGAAUAUGUAUGUUUUCAUAACUUAUUAUUCAAGCAGCCCCGUAAGGGGUGAGAUUUAUUAGAUAAGUUCAUAUGAGCGGCAGUUGGUCUCAUUACCUUUUUACACUUGGACUAAAGAUAUAAUGAAGGACUAACGUAUGGCUGAACUGAUAACCAAAUGCCAAGUUUUCCAACCUGGAAAGGAAUCCACCACGUCUUUACCUACUCUCUUCUGUACAUCACCUUGGGGCAAGGACUUUCUAAAAUAUUAGCUAAAUGCUCCCUCAGAUCUAAGAAAUCAGCCUUCUUUGCACAUUUUAGCUAUUACAUUUGGCUUUGAUUAAAGUUCAUAAUAUACACAUUGACAGAUCACAGUGUAAAUCAGUCACACUUUCACAAUGUAUUUUCAUUAUUACCUUAUUUGGCCAUAUUGCAUUUAUAAUAUUUUCCAAGCAUUUCCAUUUAAGAUAUCGCAGUGUACUGCUCUCAUACGAACUUGUAUAUAGUCAGUGUGGCUGUAACGUCAGACCUCCCUGGGGAUACAGUUGAAACAGUUUGGUGGAUAUUUAGCGUGGUGUUGAAAUUGUUUUUCUCCAUAACACGAUAAAACGUAGUGUUGUAUACUACGUCCGCUGUCAUACUGUUUGUACAUUCUUCCCCAUUGUAUCACUACAUAUCUUACUGGGAUGUUGGGGUAUCUAUCAAGCGGCGUUCCUUGCUCCAUUGGGCAUUGGAGUUCACACAAAAAGUGAAUUAACAACACUUUCUUUGUAAAUUUUGUCUAAUGUUGAAUAUGCUGAUGUUCUUUGAAACAUUUUACAAUAGAAAGAUGGUCAUUUAUUUAUGUAGGUGUCACAUAUUAGUUUUAACAGACAAUAUUCACCUCAGAAAUGUAUUUGCCAUUUCCAUCAAAUUAUGUCUUUCUAAAUUGAGCCAAGGCCAAUAUGACAAAAUACAUUGAUCCCACUUGUCCAAAUACCAUCAAUAAGAAACUUGAACACAAGACACUCAUGACACUCAUGACAUCGUGCAUGUUCCACGUUCACAGCAGGCGAUAGUAACUGUCGUCAAGGUCCUCACUUUUAUGAUAUGUCACGUACGGGUCUUUCAUGGCAAUGUGACAACUGUCUUCCAUUCAAUGUUUAUUGUUAUGCUGACUAUUUCAUGUUUUCUGUUAUGUCAGACUUUGAUACAACCAUAUCUCAGGGAAAGGUGUUCCUAUACAAACACAUAUGUCCAGUAUUAAUGUAUUCUUGCAUUUCAUAAGCAGGCGUUAUUGUUGUUUUAUUACAAUUAUUAAAUAUAUCUUCAAGUUUUUUAUGAUGUGUUUGGUACUGACAGCUGUUGAAUAAAGUGCAUAACUGAAUACUUUUGAGUCACUUAUUAAAGUUAAUACUUAAAUGAAAGCGACAGGACUUUUAGGGUGGUGUUGAAAUUGUUUUUCCUCAUAACACGAUAAAAACGUGAUGUUGUAUUCUACGUCCGCUGUCAUACUGUUUGUACAUUCUUCCCCAUUGUAUCACUACAUAUCUUACUGGAAUGUUGGGAUAUCUAUGAAGUAACAUUACAACGCAUGUUUCUAAAGUGGCGUUACUUGUUCCAUUGGACAUUUGAGUUCACACUAAACGCGGGUUCGCAACCAUAAAUUGAUCCUUACUUUGUAGUUUUUUGUUUAAUGUGGAAUUCGCCAGUGUUCUUGGCAACAUUUUACAUCAUCAGCAACGUGGCCAUUUAUAAAUAUAGGUGUCACAUUUUAAAUUUAACGGACAAUAUUCAUCUCAGAUAUGUACAUGCCAUUUCCAUCAAAUUAUGUCUUUCUAAAUUGAGCCAAGGUCAAAAUGACAACAUACAUUAAUCCCACUUGUCCAAAUACCAUCAAUAAGAAACUUGAACACAAGACACUCAUGACACUCAUGACAUCGUGCAUGUUCCACGUUCACAGCAGGCGAUAGUAACUGUCGUCAAGGUCCUCACUUUUAUGAUAUGUCACGUACGGGUCUUUCAUGGCAAUGUGACAACUGUCUUCCAUUCAAUGUUUAUUGUUAUGCUGACUAUUUCAUAUUUUCUGUUAUGUCAGACUUUGAUACAACCAUAUCUCAGGGAAAGGUGUUCCUAUACAAACGCAUAUGUCCAGUAUUAAUGUAUUCUUGCAUUUCAUAAGCAGGCGUUAUUGUUGUUUUAUUACAUUGUUAAAUAUAUCUUCAAGUUUUUUAUGAUGUGUUUGGUACUGACAGCUGUUGAAUAAAGUUUAUAACUGAA